UACGAAGGGUGCAAGCGUUACUCGGAAUUACUGGGCGUAAAGCGUGCGUAGGUGGUGAGUUAAGUCUGUCGUGAAAGCCCCGGGCUCAACCUGGGAAUGGCGAUGGAUACUGGCAGGCUAGAGUGCGGUAGAGGAUGGCGGAAUUCCCGGUGUAGCAGUGAAAUGCGUAGAGAUCGGGAGGAACAUCUGUGGCGAAGGCGGCCAUCUGGACCAGCACUGACACUGAGGCACGAAAGCGUGGGGAGCAAACAGG
Molecule: ribosomal RNA, 253 nt
Filed under: uncultured bacterium
Lineage: Bacteria
Description: partial 16S ribosomal RNA
Rfam family: Bacterial small subunit ribosomal RNA
Source: RNAcentral